CCCAUUGCCAAGGGGUGCUGUCUUCUUGAAGGGGACGGCUGAGAUCACACCCGUUGAACCUGAAUCUGGGUAAUGCCAGCGCAGGGAAAGGCUUUGGGCUUCCAU
This 105-nucleotide non-coding RNA is filed under the name Beijerinckia indica. Its description in RNAcentral is "TPP sequence". It matches the Rfam family "TPP riboswitch aptamer (THI element)". Rfam says of the family: Vitamin B(1) in its active form thiamin pyrophosphate (TPP) is an essential coenzyme that is synthesised by coupling of pyrimidine and thiazole moieties in bacteria. The previously detected thiamin-regulatory element, thi box was extended, resulting in a new, highly conserved RNA secondary structure, the THI element, which is widely distributed in eubacteria and also occurs in some archaea. Analysis of operon structures identified a large number of new candidate thiamin-regulated genes, mostly transporters, in various prokaryotic organisms. RNAcentral also lists the same sequence under 1 other name. Lineage: Bacteria; Pseudomonadati; Pseudomonadota; Alphaproteobacteria; Hyphomicrobiales; Beijerinckiaceae. The record is from RNAcentral.